GACAGAGGGGGCAAGCGUUGCUCGGAAUCACUGGGCGUAAAGGGCACGUAGGCGGGAUGGCAAGUCGGUCGUGAAAUCCUUCGGCCCAACCGAAGAACGUCGGCCGAUACUGCCGUUCUUGAGGGAUGCAGAGGAGACUGGAAUUCCCGGUGUAGCGGUGAAAUGUGUAGAGAUCGGGAGGAACACCGGUGGCGAAGGCGGGUCUCUGGGCAUUUCCUGACGCUGAGGCGCGAAAGCGUGGGGAGCAAACGGG
RNAcentral lists this ribosomal RNA (253 nucleotides) under uncultured bacterium. RNAcentral's name for it is "partial 16S ribosomal RNA". It matches the Rfam family "Bacterial small subunit ribosomal RNA", at positions 524 to 776 of the family's 1533-position model. The record is from RNAcentral.